Long non-coding RNA from Coturnix japonica (Japanese quail), 294 nucleotides. NCBI's taxonomy places the organism in Eukaryota, Metazoa, Chordata, Aves, Galliformes, Phasianidae. The record is from Ensembl.
CCAUAGCGGCCCUAUAGCCCUAUUUGGAUGUUGGGGCUCAGGCAGGGGGCCAGCAUCAUACAGAGCUGCAUGGCCGCCCUAUGGCACCUGUGGGCCUCGCUAUGGGGCUGGGCUAUGGGGCAGAGCUCCCCUAUCACCCCACCCCACAGCCCCCUCCGGCCCCACAUCGACCCAUGGGAUGAAGAAGAGGAAGAGGAGGAGGACGAGGCACCGUGGGGCCACAGCCCCCAUUGGAGCCCCACAACCUUCGGCCCCAUAGACACCCCACGGCAUCGCGGGAAGCCAUUGAGGUGA